Molecule: ribosomal RNA, 301 nt
Filed under: uncultured bacterium
Lineage: Bacteria
Description: partial 16S ribosomal RNA
Rfam family: Bacterial small subunit ribosomal RNA
Source: RNAcentral
CAGCCGCCGCGGGAAUACGUAGGGGGCGAGCGUUGUCCGAAGUUACUGGGCGUAAAGAGCGCGUAGGCUGGUCUUUAAGUGAGUGGUGAAAGGUUCGGGCUCAACCCGGACACUGCCUUUCAUACUGGGGACCUUGAGUGUGGGAGAGGCGAGUGGAAUGGUCGGUGUAGCGGUGAAAUGCGUAGAUAUCGAUCGGAACACCCAUGGCGAAGGCAGCUCGCUGGCCUAACACUGACGCUGAGGCGCGAAAGCGUGGGGAGCGAACAGGAUUAGAGACCCCCGUAGUCCCUGUCUCUUAUAC